UGCCUCUGGACCAGCUGGUAGAGCAUGAGACUCUUAAUCUCAGGAUUGUGAGUUCAAGCCCUACACUGGGCAA
Molecule: non-coding RNA, 73 nt
Organism: Podarcis lilfordi (Lilford's wall lizard)
Lineage: Eukaryota; Metazoa; Chordata; Lepidosauria; Squamata; Lacertidae
Source: the annotation of a GenBank genome assembly